CCUACGGGCGGCAGCAGUGGGGAAUAUUGCACAAUGGGGGGAACCCUGAUGCAGCGACGCCGCGUGGGUGAAGGAGUAUUUCGGUAUGUAAAGCCCUAUCAGCAGGGAAGAAAAAUGACGGUACUAAACUAAAAAGCACCGGCUAAAUACGUGCCAGCAGCCGCGGUAAGACGUAUGGUGCAAGCGUUAUCCGGAUUUACUGGGGGUAAGGGGGGCGCAGGCGGCGCGUUAAGCCGGGUGUGAAAGCCAGGGGCCAAACCGCGGGACUGCAUUGGAAACUGGCGUGCUGGAGUGCCGGAGGGGUAGGCGGAAUUCCUAGUGUAGCGGUAAAAUCCGUAGAUAUUAGGAGGAACACUCGUUGCGAAGGCGGCCUACUGGACGGUGACUGACGCUGAUGCUCGAAAGCGUGGGGAGCAAACAGGAUUAGAUACCCUAGUAGUC
RNAcentral lists this ribosomal RNA (441 nucleotides) under uncultured bacterium. Its description in RNAcentral is "partial 16S ribosomal RNA". It matches the Rfam family "Bacterial small subunit ribosomal RNA", at positions 338 to 795 of the family's 1533-position model. The record is from RNAcentral.